RNAcentral lists this ribosomal RNA (509 nucleotides) under uncultured bacterium. RNAcentral's name for it is "partial 16S ribosomal RNA". It matches the Rfam family "Bacterial small subunit ribosomal RNA", at positions 29 to 507 of the family's 1533-position model. The record is from RNAcentral.
ACGAACGCUGGCGGCGUGCUUAACACAUGCAAGUCGAACGCAGAGCGAUGGAAGCUUGCUUCUAUCAAUCUUAGUGGCGAACGGGUGAGUAACGCGUAAUCAACCUGCCCUUCAGAGGGGGACAACAGUUGGAAACGACUGCUAAUACCGCAUACGAUCUAAUCUCGGCAUCGAGGAUAGAUGAAAGGUGGCCUCUACAUGUAAGCUAUCACUGAAGGAGGGGAUUGCGUCUGAUUAGCUAGUUGGAGGGGUAACGGCCCACCAAGGCGAUGAUCAGUAGCCGGUCUGAGAGGAUGAACGGCCACAUUGGGACUGAGACACGGCCCAGACUCCUACGGGAGGCAGCAGUGGGGAAUCUUCCGCAAUGGACGAAAGUCUGACGGAGCAACGCCGCGUGAGUGAUGACGGCCUUCGGGUUGUAAAGCUCUGUUAAUCGGGACGAAAGGCCUUCUUGCGAACAGUUAGAAGGAUUGACGGUACCGGAAUAGAAAGCCACGGCUAACUACGUG